UACAGAGGUCUCAAGCGUUGUUCGGAUUCAUUGGGCGUAAAGGGUGCGUAGGCGGCGCGGUAAGUCGGGUGUGAAAUUUCGAGGCUUAACUUCGAAACUGCAUUCGAUACUGCCGUGCUUGAGGACUGGAGAGGAGACUGGAAUUUACGGUGUAGCGGUGAAAUGCGUAGAUAUCGUAAGGAAGACCAGUGGCGAAGGCGUCUCUGGACAGUUCCUGACGCUGAGGCACGAAGGCCAGGGGAGCAAACGGG
This 251-nucleotide ribosomal RNA is filed under the name uncultured bacterium. Its description in RNAcentral is "partial 16S ribosomal RNA". It matches the Rfam family "Bacterial small subunit ribosomal RNA", at positions 524 to 776 of the family's 1533-position model. The record is from RNAcentral.